Molecule: unclassified non-coding RNA, 422 nt
Filed under: Hevea brasiliensis (rubber tree)
Lineage: Eukaryota; Viridiplantae; Streptophyta; Magnoliopsida; Malpighiales; Euphorbiaceae
Source: RNAcentral
AAAAAUUGAAUAUGAGACUAAGUCAAUCCUCAUUAUCCCUGCUGCUGCUGCUUCUUCUUCAUCCUCCUCCUCCUCCAAACCCUAAACGCAACGAGUUAUUGCAGAACUGGAGAGCUUUAAAUCUUCUAAUUAUCUUGUAGAUCUGUCUUUUUAUUACCCUUUGCUUUGAAACCAAUCACUGUACACACACUUCAUUUUGGCUUUUUAUGGCGGUGGGUUUUGACUUUUGAAGAGAGAGUUUUGUCACUCUAAGGAAACACCACUCCAUUUCUUCCGUAAAUUUAUAUAUCCUAUUUAACUAUUGUUGCAUACAUGGAGGGGAAUUCCGGUGGUGGAGGAGCUGGAGGAGCUGCUGUUGCUGCUGGCGGCGGGGCUGGGUCUGUUGGGGUUGGUGGGGCUGGGGGGGGGGGGGGGGAUGAUGU